Molecule: transfer RNA, 75 nt
Filed under: Brucella anthropi
Lineage: Bacteria; Pseudomonadati; Pseudomonadota; Alphaproteobacteria; Hyphomicrobiales; Brucellaceae
Also listed under: 38 other names
Description: tRNA-Gln
Rfam family: tRNA
About the family: Transfer RNA (tRNA) molecules are approximately 80 nucleotides in length. Their secondary structure includes four short double-helical elements and three loops (D, anti-codon, and T loops).
Source: RNAcentral
UGGGGCGUAGCCAAGUGGUAAGGCAGCGGUUUUUGGUACCGCCAUUCCCUGGUUCGAAUCCAGGCGCCCCAGCCA